Long non-coding RNA from Oncorhynchus tshawytscha (Chinook salmon), 727 nucleotides. The record is from Ensembl. NCBI's taxonomy places the organism in Eukaryota, Metazoa, Chordata, Actinopteri, Salmoniformes, Salmonidae.
GUCAGACAGAUGGUGGACAGACAGGUCAGACAGAUGGUGGACAGACAGGUCAGACAGAUGGUCAGAUAGAUGGUCAGACCUGUCAGCUAGAUGGUGGACAGACAGGUCAGCUAGAUGGUGGACAGACAGGUCAGCUAGAUGGUGGACAGACAGGUCAGCUAGAUGGUGGUCAGACAGGUCAGCUAGAUGGUCAGAUAGAUGGUCAGACAGGUCAGACAGACAGGUCAGAUAGAUGGUGGACAGACAGGUCAGACAGGUGGUGGUCAGACAGGUCAGAGAUGGUGGUUAGACAGGUCAGAUAGAUGGUAGACAGACAGGUCAGAUAGAUGGUAGACAGACAGGUCAGAUAGAUGGUCAGAUAGAUGGUAGUGGUGGGAGUAGACAGACAGGUCAGAUAGAUGGUAGACAGACAGGUCAGAUAGAUGGUAGACAGACAGGUCAGAUAGAUGGUAGACAGACAGGUCAGAUAGAUGGUGGUCAGACAGGUCAGAUAGAUGGUCAGAUAGAUGGUAGACAGACAGGUCAGAUAGAUGGUAGACAGACAGGUCAGAUAGAUGGUAGAUAGACAGGUCAGAUAGAUGGUAGACAGGUCAGAUAGAUGGUGGUCAGACAGGUCAGAUAGAUGGUGGUCAGACAGGUCAGAUAGAUGGUAGACAGACAGGUCAGCUAGAUGGUGGACAGACAGGUCAGCUAGAUGGUGGACAGACAGGUCAGCUAGAUGGUGGAC